Molecule: ribosomal RNA, 388 nt
Filed under: uncultured bacterium
Lineage: Bacteria
Description: bacterial SSU rRNA
Rfam family: Bacterial small subunit ribosomal RNA
Source: RNAcentral
GACGAACGCUGGCGGCGUGCUUAACACAUGCAAGUCGAGCGGUAAGGCCCUUUCGGGGGUACACGAGCGGCGAACGGGUGAGUAACACGUGGGUGACCUGCCCUCAGCUCUGGGAUAAGCCUGGGAAACUGGGUCUAAUACUGGAUAUGACUCCACGGUGCAUGUCGUGGGGUGGAAAGCCCUGUGCGGCUGAGGAUGGGCCCGCGGCCUAUCAGCUUGUUGGUGGGGUGANGGCCUACCAAGGCGACGACGGGUAGCCGGCCUGAGAGGGCGACCGGCCACACUGGGACUGAGACACGGCCCAGACUCCUACGGGAGGCAGCAGUGGGGAAUCUUGCGCAAUGGGCGAAAGCCUGACGCAGCGACGCCGCGUGAGGGAUGACGGCCU